AAUAUUGGGACAUAUAAAAAAAGACAACUCUGUUCCGCAGAGUAGCUGUUGACAUUAUAGUUGCGCAGGCACUUUGUUGACGCUAGAGAACCUCGGGCCAAUCGCACAUCCCCAUGACGGCGACUUUGCAUUCGGAUGUCAUCCAUAUCAACUUUCGAUGCCAGUUUCUGUGCCUACCAUGGUGACCAUGGGUAACGGGGAAUCAGUGUUCCAUUCCGUACAGGGAACCUGAGAAACAGCUACCAAAUGCAAGGAAGGCAGCAGGCGCGCAAAUGACCCACACCCGACGCGGGAAGGUAGUGA
Molecule: non-coding RNA, 303 nt
Organism: Pelobates cultripes (western spadefoot toad)
Lineage: Eukaryota; Metazoa; Chordata; Amphibia; Anura; Pelobatidae
Source: the annotation of a GenBank genome assembly